RNAcentral lists this ribosomal RNA (868 nucleotides) under uncultured Chloroflexota bacterium. Its description in RNAcentral is "bacterial SSU rRNA". It matches the Rfam family "Bacterial small subunit ribosomal RNA", at positions 45 to 873 of the family's 1533-position model. The record is from RNAcentral. Lineage: Bacteria; Bacillati; Chloroflexota.
GGCUACACAUGCAGUCGACGGGAACCCUUGGAUUCGUCUGAAGGUGAGAGUGGCGAACGGGUGAGUAACACGUUGGUGACCUGCCCCAGAGAGGGGGAUAACCACUGGAAACGGUGGCUAAUACCCCAGAUGUCAUUGUUGUUAGAGAGCAAUGACUAAAGCUCCGGCGCUCUGGGAGGGGCCUGCGGCCCAUCAGCUAGUUGGUAAGGUAACGGCUUACCAAGGCAAAGACGGGUAGGGGGCGUGAGAGCGUGACCCCCCACACUGGUACUGACACACGGACCAGAUACCUACGGGUAGCAGCAGCAAGGAAUAUUGCCCAAUGGACGAAAGUCUGAGGCAGCAACGCCGCGUGGAGGAUGAAGGCCUUCGGGUUGUAAACUCCUUUUAUGGGGGAAGGGAAAGGACGGUACCCCAUGAAUAAGUCUCGGCUAACUACGUGCCAGCAGCCGCGGUAAAACGUAGGAGGCGAGCGUUAUCCGGAUUUACUGGGCGUAAAGCGCGUGCAGGCGGUUUUUCUAAGUCGGACGUGAAAGCUCUCGGCUCAACUGGGAGAGGUCGUUCGAAACUAGGAAACUUGAGGGUGGUAGAGGAGAGUGGAAUUCCCGGUGUAGUGGUGAAAUGCGUAGAUAUCGGGAGGAACACCAGUGGCCGAGGCGGCUCUCUGGGCCAUUCCUGACGCUAAGACGCGAAAGCUAGGGGAGAGAACGGGAUUAGAAACCCCGGUAUUCCUAGCCGUAAACGAUGUCAACUAGGUGUAGGGGGUAUCCGACCCCCCUGUGCUGCAGCUACGCGUAGUGGACGGCUGCGACUACCGCGCAUGCUAAACUCAAGUAUUGAGGCUACACAUGGCUACACAUAACCUGGU